Molecule: ribosomal RNA, 522 nt
Filed under: Staphylococcus aureus
Lineage: Bacteria; Bacillati; Bacillota; Bacilli; Caryophanales; Staphylococcaceae
Description: partial 23S ribosomal RNA
Rfam family: Bacterial large subunit ribosomal RNA
Source: RNAcentral
AGGAAGGCUCGUCCGCUCUGGGUUAGUCGGGUCCUAAGCUGAGGCCGACAGGCGUAGGCGAUGGAUAACAGGUUGAUAUUCCUGUACCACCUAUAAUCGUUUUAAUCGAUGGGGGGACGCAGUAGGAUAGGCGAAGCGUGCGAUUGGAUUGCACGUCUAAGCAGUAAGGCUGAGUAUUAGGCAAAUCCGGUACUCGUUAAGGCUGAGCUGUGAUGGGGAGAAGACAUUGUGUCUUCGAGUCGUUGAUUUCACACUGCCGAGAAAAGCCUCUAGAUAGAAAAUAGGUGCCCGUACCGCAAACCGACACAGGUAGUCAAGAUGAGAAUUCUAAGGUGAGCGAGCGAACUCUCGUUAAGGAACUCGGCAAAAUGACCCCGUAACUUCGGGAGAAGGGGUGCUCUUUAGGGUUAACGCCCAGAAGAGCCGCAGUGAAUAGGCCCAAGCGACUGUUUAUCAAAAACACAGGUCUCUGCUAAACCGUAAGGUGAUGUAUAGGGGCUGACGCCUGCCCGGUGCUGGAAG